Molecule: ribosomal RNA, 429 nt
Filed under: Gemmatimonadota bacterium
Lineage: Bacteria; Pseudomonadati; Gemmatimonadota
Description: Gemmatimonadetes bacterium partial 16S ribosomal RNA
Rfam family: Bacterial small subunit ribosomal RNA
Source: RNAcentral
UAGGGAAUCUUCGGCAAUGGACGAAAGUCUGACCGAGCAACGCCGCGUGAGUGAAGAAGGUUUUCGGAUCGUAAAACUCUGUUGUUAGAGAAGAACAAGGACGUUAGUAACUGAACGUCCCCUGACGGUAUCUAACCAGAAAGCCACGGCUAACUACGUGCCAGCAGCCGCGGUAAUACGUAGGUGGCAAGCGUUGUCCGGAUUUAUUGGGCGUAAAGCGAGCGCAGGCGGUUUCUUAAGUCUGAUGUGAAAGCCCCCGGCUCAACCGGGGAGGGUCAUUGGAAACUGGGAGACUUGAGUGCAGGAGAGGAGAGUGGAAUUCCAUGUGUAGCGGUGAAAUGCGUAGAUAUAUGGAGGAACACCAGUGGCGAAGGCGGCUCUCUGGUCUAUAACUGACGCUGAGGCUCGAAAGCGUGGGGAGCAAACAGG